AUUGAACGCUGGCGGCAGGCCUAACACAUGCAAGUCGGGCGAGUGGCGGACGGGUGAGUAAUGUAUGGGGAUCUGCCUGAUGGAGGGGGAUAACUACUGGAAACGGUAGCUAAUACCGCAUACCAUCAGAUGUACCCAGCUGGGAUUAGCUUGUGGGUGGGGUAACGGCUCACCUAGGCGACGAUCCCUAGCUGGUCUGAGAGGAUGACCAGCAACACUGGAACUGAGACACGGCCCAGACUCCUACGGGAGGCAGCAGUGGGGAAUAUUGCACAAUGGGCGCAAGCCUGAUGCAGCCAUGCCGCGUGUAUGAAGAAGGCCUUCGGGUUGUAAAGUACUGUCAGUCGGGAGGCGUUACCGGCAGAAGAAGCACCGGCUAACUCCGUGCCAGCAGCCGCGGUAAUAC
RNAcentral lists this ribosomal RNA (406 nucleotides) under uncultured bacterium. RNAcentral describes it as "partial 16S ribosomal RNA". It matches the Rfam family "Bacterial small subunit ribosomal RNA", at positions 30 to 526 of the family's 1533-position model. The record is from RNAcentral.